AAAUUCUUUACUAUUUAGUGUGGAAUUCAAAUUCUAUAUUAUAAUGGAUAUUAAAUUGUAAUGGAAAUUAAAUUCUUAUACAUUUUUUCAAACCAAACAAUGGAAAUAAAAAGAAAAUUUAAAUUACUUUCCUCUCCUACAUUCUCUUCUCUCAACCAAACACCACCUUAGAUUCUCCUUAGGGUUCCCACUUCAAUCUUAAAAGUAAACGCUAUCUAGAAUCUUGCCAAAAGUAUAACCUCUAACAGGAAUAUAAAAGACUGCUUUCAACGCAUGUAAAUCAAUUCAUUCCCAAAUACAAUACGUCUCUUUUGAGGUUAAUGCUAAGUUACAUGCAUGUAACUUACAACCCUCUCACAUGAAUAGUGAGUAGUGUAGGAUCCCUCUUUUGAUAUUGAUUUGUUGAACUCAGGUGAAGCCAAAAUGGUUUUAAAUUAAGGGUGUGUUUGGAAUGCAGUAUUAUAUAGUAUUAUAAUACUAUUCAAAUUAAUUUAUUACUUAUAUUUGGAAGUUUUGGAAGUUAAAUUAUAAUACACCACAAUUUGCCAAUUUUUGCCUCAUUGAGCAAUUAAAUAUAAUUUAAUUAUAUUUUGA
Molecule: long non-coding RNA, 594 nt
Filed under: Citrus x clementina
Lineage: Eukaryota; Viridiplantae; Streptophyta; Magnoliopsida; Sapindales; Rutaceae
Description: Citrus clementina (C. clementina) long non-coding RNA (CCLE_LNC001182)
Source: RNAcentral